UGACAAAGUAAAUCUUGGUUUUGGAGGCCAUGACCUCAUAAAGCUGUAAGACAUUUGGAUGUUUAACCAGUUUCAUAACAGAUAUCUCUCUCUUGAUCUGAUCAAUCAGCCCCACCUUCAAUAUCUUUUCCUUUUCAAUGACCUUAAUAGCCACACUCUGGCCAGUUUUAAGAUUCCUCGCAUAGUAAACCUUAGCAAAGUUUCCUUGGCCUAACAAUCGCCCAAAGUCAUACCUCUCCAUCAAUACAUUCCCUUUAUGCUCCAUUGUAAACGUAAAAUCCUUAUAGACUUUAGUAAAAUAUGUCCUCUAGCUAGAAGCCUAUAAUUUAUAGGGAAAAGGUCUUUAGAACUCGAGAACUUAGCCGUCUUCACCAAGAUUGUGAUUUAGCACAGCAGGAAUUCUAGUUGUGAUUCCCUUGUCCAUUAGGAACUCAACUGCAAAUCUGUCAUAUGCUGAAUCUCCAACCUCAUCAAGGGUGGAUACUGGCAGCUGAAAUUGGAAUUGAAUUUUACGGACUCCGUAGAAAGAAUUACCAGAGUUCAAGCACAUUUUUCAGCAUUCCCUGGUGUUUUUCAAUGCUAUAUGAGGAGAAGAAAUGCCAAGCAGCCAGGCAAAUACUAGAGAGGAAUCUUUGAAAAGAAGGGAGGGCCUCUGUCAAUAGAGAGAUAUAAUGAGAGGAAAACCAAUCAGAUGUGCCUGUCAGCCUCUGUAUAUUGAAGGGCUGUUCUUCUUGAGCUAUUAAAAGGAUGAAUAUUUAUAGGAGAAGACAUGAAAGCGAGAUCAGAGGUACAAGAUGCAUUUCUUUUUACUUGCAGAAGAAAUAUAAAGGAUUGCAGUUGGUUAGCUACACCCACAUAAAAAGCCAUUGGUG
RNAcentral lists this unclassified non-coding RNA (872 nucleotides) under Hevea brasiliensis (rubber tree). Lineage: Eukaryota; Viridiplantae; Streptophyta; Magnoliopsida; Malpighiales; Euphorbiaceae. The record is from RNAcentral.